This 2719-nucleotide small RNA is filed under the name Pongo abelii (Sumatran orangutan). RNAcentral describes it as "retained intron". The record is from RNAcentral. Lineage: Eukaryota; Metazoa; Chordata; Mammalia; Primates; Hominidae.
GAAUCCUAAAAUAGCCCGCAGCCCGCUGGGAUGUCUCCUGAAACACCAGCGUUGGCAACUGACAUUUACAUGAGAAUGGGCGUCCGCAGGCCGUGCUGUCGGAUGAGUCUGCGGUUCCUGCAGUGCCUGCCCGAAGACAGGUGUUCCAGGAUGCAGUCCCUCCGCACGCGCAUGGGCAGCUCGCAGGCCCUGCAGUAAAGGGUCUCCACCACAGACGUGUCCCCAGAGUUACUGUGCUCAAUCAGGUGCUGCUUCACCACCAGGUUGGAGUGCAGUGGCGUGAUCUCGGCUCACUGCAACCUCCGCCUCCCGGAUUCAAGCGAUUCUCCUGCCUCAGCCCCCCAAGUAGCUGGGAUUACAGGCGCGAGUUUUAUCAAUAAAGGCCCUGAAGGCCCAGGUUGCUUUUCCUCUCUCAUCUCCACCUGAAGAGAAAUACCCACAGGUGUGGAUGGGGCAGGCCCCCUUCAAAUUUCCUUCAGUCAGCAAGCAGAGAAGCCUUUCUUCCCACUCAGACCUCAAUCGAGGCUUCUGAAGCAGGUUCAUGUUCGAGGCCAUCUUUUUCUCCAUACCCCAAGCCAGGCUGAAGAGAGAUCCACGGGAAACGCCGGGCCUGUCCUCAUUCAGGUCCACAUUCAGGCGACAAAGCUCACUUGGUCUUUGUGUCCCACGCCUCAUGUUACCUAAGGAGGCCAGCCCGUCUGAGAGGCACAGUUCGAUGUCCAGCUCGAUGGCCAGGGCCCUGGUGCUCCUCCAGAGCAUGGCCAGCCGGGACGCCCGGUGCCCAGAAUGGAAACCGCACCAAAAGCCACGCGCGCUCAGCAAGUCGGUCCAGACCAUCAGCCGCUACUACAGGAAGACGAGUGAACCCAGGGAUGCUGUCAGCCUCACCGGCUUCGUGUCCGAAAUGGAGGAACUUCGAAGGGUCUUCCCCACGUGUCCUGACUGCCCCCAGUUCAGCACCAGGGCCACAUCCAUGUCCCACUGUGGUUCACCCACUGAGGCCGAUUUGUCCGGAGAGAUUGACAACAGCUCAGAGACCUGGAGAGGCACCCAGGACCUGUUCUUGGCCAGGCAGGGCUCAGACACGAACGUGGACGGUGAGGGAGCCCCUAGGGCCUCUGCUUGCACCUGCUGGGCCCCUGAGCUCGAGGCCUGCUUCUUGCAGGGUCGCUGCUCAUGCCCUGUGGAAUUCCCUCCCAGGACUGCCUGCCUCCUGAGGACUCACACAGAAAGGCCCCCGGGCUCCAUUAUGCAGAACUAGCCCUGCCUUUCCUGACAGCUUAGGCUGCAGUCCCCCCAGGACAGUGGCCCCUUGUCUUUGGUAAAAAUCGUAGUUGAAAGUUUUGUCCCCUUGGCCUUUACCCAGAGGCUGAUGGGUGCAUCCCUCCCUCACUGUGGGUAGAGGCCCCCCAGGACACUGCUCCCACAGACAGGUGUGCCUGUUUCCAUUUACCAAGAGAAAGUUCACAGCAACGUGUCUCCUUUCUUGCCUUAACUGGAGGAAACCUAGAGUCUGUAGUGACCAGCUCCCCUCGAACUCAGGAAGGUGGAGAAUCUCCUCCCUCCCCUCAGUUUAAAGAUGGAGAAACUGGGCCGGGCGCAGUGGCUCACGCCUGUAAUCACAGCAGUUUGGGAGGCCGAGGCGGGUGGAUCACGAGGUCAGGAGUUCAAGAUCAGCUUGGCCAAGAUGGUGAAACCCCGUCUCUACCAAAAACACAAAAAAAUUAGUCGGACAUGUGGUGGGCACCUGUAAUCCCAGCUACUCGGGAGGCUGAGGCAGAAUUCCUUGAAUUUGGUAGGCAGAGGUUACAGUGAGCUGAAAUCAUGCCACUGCACUCCAGCUUGGGAGAUAGAGCAAGACUACAUCUCAAAAAGAAAAAAAAAAGAGAGAGAUGGGAAAACUGAGGCUCCAGGAGGGGACAAGCAACCAGGUGUACACAGACAGCAUCAGGAUGACCCCCUCAUCCCGACUCCCAGCUCUGGCUCCUUUGUCCUGGGUGUCUUGGCCAGAGCUUCCACACCUUCCUUCACUCCCUCAGCACGUGCUGUGCUGGGUGUGGGCGCCCCAUCGUGUUCACAGCAGCACCACACUGUGUCCUCAAAAUGAGGGUAACAAAAGUUAGGAGACAGAUCGGAGUCCGUCUGGGCAGAUAGGGGUUUCCGAGGGAAGUCUCAGAAGGGUGGAUGUCGUCAUCGAAGACGCCAGAGGAGCUCGGCAGGGAAGGGUCUCGUUUCUCACUUGGCUUCUGCUGUCGCCACAGGGUACCUCCUUCCCUUCAGUAAGAGCAUCUGUGAGUUCGAUUACUUGCGGAAGAGGAGCAAAUCCCAGACUUUGAGUCCAGUCACCAGCAGCUCAGUCGCAUCUCAGAGCUGCCCGAGAAAGAGGACGCCCUGGUACCUCUCAGUCAUCCACGAGAAGGUACUGGCGGAGGGGAUGCAAAUCCCGGCCCCCGACUCCCUCGCUCUGCGUCCGGCUGGGAGGACAGCCCUGCUCCCCGACAGGCUCUGGUUCUAGUAUCUGGUUAGCUGUAUCAAGCAGGUCCCCAUGGCCUAAAAUGACCUCCAGACCCCCUGCUUUGACAAAGCUCCUCACCCCUGUCCAUCCUCACCCCAGUGGGUGGCAGUUAUGCCGGCAUGGAACUCAGACUCACCGGCAUGCAUGACUUCCAACCAUCCACACAUCUUUGCACCCACAGACUCUGCUUCAGAGAAUGUAUUC